RNAcentral lists this ribosomal RNA (494 nucleotides) under uncultured bacterium. RNAcentral describes it as "bacterial SSU rRNA". It matches the Rfam family "Bacterial small subunit ribosomal RNA", at positions 15 to 507 of the family's 1533-position model. The record is from RNAcentral.
GAUCAUGGCUCAGAUUGAACGCUGGCGGCAUGCCUUACACAUGCAAGUCGAACGGCAGCGGACCUUCGGGUGCCGGCGAGUGGCGAACGGGUGAGUAAUGCAUCGGAACGUGCCAUUGAGUGGGGGAUAACGUAGCGAAAGUUGCGCUAAUACCGCAUAUUCUGUGAGCAGGAAAGCAGGGGACCGCAAGGCCUUGCGCUCUUUGAGCGGCCGAUGUCAGAUUAGCUAGUUGGUGAGGUAACGGCUUACCAAGGCGACGAUCUGUAGCGGGUCUGAGAGGAUGAUCCGCCACACUGGAACUGAGACACGGUCCAGACUCCUACGGGAGGCAGCAGUGGGGAAUUUUGGACAAUGGGGCAACCCUGAUCCAGCCAUGCCGCGUGAGUGAAGAAGGCCUUCGGGUUGUAAAGCUCUUUCGGCCGGGAAGAAAUCGCAUGGGUUAAUACCCUGUGUGGAUGACGGUACCGGCAUAAGAAGCACCGGCUAACUACGUG